RNAcentral lists this small RNA (134 nucleotides) under Salmonella enterica. RNAcentral's name for it is "RtT sRNA". It matches the Rfam family "RtT RNA". From Rfam's summary of the family: This family represents a bacterial cis-regulatory element known as RtT RNA. The exact function of RtT is unknown although it is thought that it may be involved in changing the cellular response in relation to amino acid starvation. Lineage: Bacteria; Pseudomonadati; Pseudomonadota; Gammaproteobacteria; Enterobacterales; Enterobacteriaceae. The record is from RNAcentral.
UGUAUCUGAAGUCUGACGAGGAUGAGAACCUCCGGGGGCAAGAGGUUCGACUCGAGCGAAGCUAGAGAACGUUGCGUCAGCAACGGCCCGCAGGGCGAGCCACGCAGUGGCGAGUCAUCCUCUAUCACCGACCA